RNAcentral lists this ribosomal RNA (229 nucleotides) under uncultured bacterium. Its description in RNAcentral is "partial 16S ribosomal RNA". It matches the Rfam family "Bacterial small subunit ribosomal RNA", at positions 568 to 796 of the family's 1533-position model. The record is from RNAcentral.
UCCGCAGGCGGGCAAUUAAGUCAGAGGUGAAAUCCCACAGCUCAACUGUGGAACUGCCUUUGAUACUGGUUGUCUUGAGUUAUAGUGAAGUAGAUAGAAUAUGUAGUGUAGCGGUGAAAUGCAUAGAUAUUACAUAGAAUACCGAUUGCGAAGGCAGUCUACUAACUAUAUACUGACGCUGAUGGACGAAAGCGUGGGGAGCGAACAGGAUUAGAUACCCUGGUAGUCC